Setaria italica (foxtail millet) is the source of this 1717-nucleotide long non-coding RNA. RefSeq lists it as uncharacterized. NCBI's taxonomy places the organism in Eukaryota, Viridiplantae, Streptophyta, Magnoliopsida, Poales, Poaceae. The transcript has 4 exons. The record is from RefSeq and is a predicted model, not a curated record.
AUCCGUGGUGUAGCAUUUUCUGAAAGCUGGCUGAAGCCAAUAGAUGACUGGCCUGUGGUUUCUCCUAGUGUAUCGGUUGGAGCAUCUUGUCCUGCAGCAUACCAAAAACACGGGGCUGGUGGAAGGCAGUGUAGAAGGCAUUCGUUAGCAUCUGAAUCUGGUACUACUAUUGAUGCUGACAACAGCUGGAGUUGGUGGAGCGGCGGAAGUAUUUCAAAAUGUAUUCUGCAGAGGGGGGCUCUUCAAAGGUCAUCCAUAAGAAAAGCUGCUCGUCAAGGUGGUAAAAAGAGGAUAGCAUGUUUAUCAUACCAUGGAGGUUUCAAUUUUCCAAGACAAUCUCAGCAAUUUGCUUGGAGAGCGUGUGUUGGACUAAGCCAGAAUUCAUCUCAACUUGCUUUGCAGGUUAGAUGUCUCAAUGCCCACAUUAGAUGGAAGGAAUUCAUCCCUCCAGAUCAAAUUCCUUCAGAUGGAGCAAGUUCUAAUGGUGAUUUCUGCUCUCAGAAAUGCUGUAGUCUGUGAUAAAAAAAUAAUUGACAAUAAGAUAAGAUAGGCACUUAAGUUUCCCAACCAGAAGCAUCUUCCUGUGCGUGUAAAGGGAAAUAUCUUGGAAUCAGAAGGUAAUCAUAAUGAAAAUAGCAAAUUGUGGUUUUGUGAAAACCAUGUGCCACUGUACAUGUUGCGAGAAUUUGAGCUGAAAGCUGGGAUUAGCUCCUUGCCUAGUCCAGGAAUUUCAGGUUCCAACUGUUUCACUAAUUUCUUCACAACGCGAGUAAAAACAUAUACUGGGAAUGUCUUUUCUUAUCUCUUUCACAAGGGAGAUGUGUAUCCAUGCACCUCAUGCAUGAAGGAUGUUCUAUUCAGGUUUUCAACCUUUCCUAUUUAGUGCCUUUUAUUCAUUUAUUCCUCUUUAUAAGAUUUUGGCAUUAUCUUCACCUUUUGUGUUGUGCUUUUGGAUGAAUUGCAUGCAGGGAUGUUGUUAAAUGCAGCUCUUGUCAAGGUAAUUGCCACAAAGAGUGCAGAACAAGAUCUGUUAGUGGCAAAGGAGGCAGUGCUACUUCGAAUUUGAUAUGCAAGUUAUGCGUCCAGAAGCGUAAUCUUAGGCUUACAAGUUACCAUAUGAAUGCAAGUUAUAUCCAACUCAACAGAUGAUUAAUGGUCAACAGCUAGUGACCGCUUCCAAAAUAAUCUUGAAGGUUGGCUCUUCCCAUUCUGCUGAACCUGCACUGAAAGUUGGAGCCCAGCCAGUCUCAAAGGUUUGCAAAGGUUACCAACCAGCCAAUUGUGAAUGUGAAAGCCCAACCACCUGCAAAGUUGGCAACCUUGCCAAUUACAAAUGUGGCAGCUAAAAAUAUCACUUGUGUCCAAGCUCAGCCAAAAAGUAAAAAAUCGAAGUCAGAAAAAGCAAAGAAACCUAAAAAUGUUCAAGCGAUCACAUAUUUCGGUCUCGUAUGGAAGAAACAUAAGAAUGAAAAAGACGCCGAAAAUGAUUUCAGAGCAAAUGAUGUAAUCCUUCAAAGCAAGGAUGGUAUAAGUUCAUCCAUGAGACCGACUUGUUGCCUCUGUAAUAAAGCUUAUUCUCCGGAUUUCCUGUACAUGUCCGCUGUGAGAGGUGCAGAAGCAAGUAUCUUUACCAUUAUACUAGCUAGGAGCAUUAUACUAGCUAGGAGUGUCAUGUCAGUUUUUUUAACAUCUUGAUAUUCCCUACGUACAGAUUGGU